Molecule: long non-coding RNA, 806 nt
Organism: Zingiber officinale
Lineage: Eukaryota; Viridiplantae; Streptophyta; Magnoliopsida; Zingiberales; Zingiberaceae
Exons: 4
Source: RefSeq, a predicted model, not a curated record
ACAUAUUUACUUAUUUAUUGCUUCUGAGUUCUGCCACUCGAACUCGGUCGGCGUUCUUCUCUUCUCACUGACCGUCUCCGAGAAAAGAUGGCGAAGCGUGAGACGAUGUGGAAAGGAGGAGGCAACAAAUCGCAAGCAGAGACGGAGAAAAAUUUCCAGAUCCGUCGUAAAGGUAGAUCUGAAGGUGCGAGGAGAAAUGAGCGAAGGAGGGUUGCUGGAAAUCGAGCCUAAGGAGUUCAAGUUCGAUUUUGAGUUGAAGAAGCAGAGCUCGUGCUCCCUGAAACGAAUUAACAAGACAGAUCAAUAUGUUGUCUUUAAGAAGAAAAGGAUUAUGCUGAGUGCCACAGGCUUAGGAUGUUACCCGUGCUUCUUUUUGUUGUUGUUAGUGACCGUCAUAGUUUUUAUGGCUUGAAAGCAAUGGGCUCCUUUCAUGGUUGGAAGAUCUCCAACAAAUAGGCAUGGUGUUUUUUAAAGAGGUUCUUCCCUAUCUCUUAUAACGUCUGUCUCUCUUGCAUCUAACUCCCAUUAUUUUUCCCUUUGUCAAUAACUACUAAGCUUUUAUUCUCAACCUUGCCAAGAAGAGCCAUGAUGAGAAAAACAGUAGUUUUCUUACAAUUAUUGUGCAUAUAUUUGUACUUAUGUAUUGACAGGAACGGAUUGAUAUUAAAUUAUAAUAUAAAAUUCAGAUAUCUUAGAAAUGAUGUGUCUUUUUGAAGAAAGAAUUUUUCUCACGCCUCCAUUAGGGAUAUAUUAUACUAGUAUGUAUAUAUUUUGUAUGCAUCCGUCUAAUUGUUUUUUAUGUUAAA